GGCCCCAUAGCACAACUAGGCAGAUGCAGCAGGCCUAAACCCUGCGUGGUCCCGGUUCAAAUCCGGGUGGGGUCA
This 75-nucleotide transfer RNA is filed under the name marine sediment metagenome. RNAcentral's name for it is "tRNA-Leu". It matches the Rfam family "tRNA". Rfam says of the family: Transfer RNA (tRNA) molecules are approximately 80 nucleotides in length. Their secondary structure includes four short double-helical elements and three loops (D, anti-codon, and T loops). Further hydrogen bonds mediate the characteristic L-shaped molecular structure. tRNAs have two regions of fundamental functional importance: the anti-codon, which is responsible for specific mRNA codon recognition, and the 3' end, to which the tRNAs corresponding amino acid is attached (by aminoacyl-tRNA synthetases). tRNAs cope with the degeneracy of the genetic code in two manners: having more than one tRNA (with a specific anti-codon) for a particular amino acid; and 'wobble' base-pairing, i.e. permitting non-standard base-pairing at the 3rd anti-codon position. The record is from RNAcentral.